This 482-nucleotide long non-coding RNA is filed under the name Cicer arietinum (chickpea). Its description in RNAcentral is "long non-coding RNA (CARI_LNC002990)". The record is from RNAcentral. Lineage: Eukaryota; Viridiplantae; Streptophyta; Magnoliopsida; Fabales; Fabaceae.
UGAAACAACAAUAAUUAAUUAUCACACAAUGCAGAAAGAACUCCAACCAAUUCAUUAUAUUUAUUUAUUUGAAAAUGCAGAUAUAUAUCUUGUAGUAGAAUUACAUGAGCAAGAGCAAAGAAAAUGAACUCCUUACAGCGUAACCAAAAAAAAGAACAAGAAAGAUGAUGAUUGUGAUCUUGUAGUAGAAACUUUGAUAAUGAUCAUGACAGGUUGGUGAAGGUUGUGCCAAUUGAUCUGAGAGGUUCCUUUCAAAAAUAUCAGUUGUUGAUGGACAGAGUGGUGAUGUUGGUGAUAGAGACGGUGAUGAGGGAGAGUUUGGGGGUGACGGAGACGGAGAUGAAGAGUAGGGCAUCGACGGUGGCGGAGAGUGUGGCGACCUCGGCGCUUGUAAAGGAGAAUCGAUUGGAGGAUGUGGUGAUGGCAUUUCCAGUGGGUCUGGUAUAGUACUCCGUCGUGCAAUUCUAACAGCCAAUAAUGAU